UCUAUCUAUCUAUUGUAUUCGUCUUUUUGUUUCUUUUUAUCAUAUGGUCGUUUACAACAGUGGCUGACUUGAAACUUGGAUUAACGUGCUAAUCAAUAAUGUUUUUAUUUCAGUGUGAUAUAGAUGCUGGCCGAGUGUCUCCUGAGGGGACUUUGUAUCUACACGGGGGAAGAUCCUGAAAACUUUGUGCAGGAAUAUGUGAUAUGUACAUGAACAUGUCUAUUUUCACAUUCAUUUCUCAAUAGGGCUUUGUUAGAGGGUCUCAUUUUCUUACUGUUAUGUGCAUUUGUCUGCCUAAUUCAGGGCAUGGAUGGAGUUGAUGUCAUUGAAGACAACUGUUGGGGUUUAUGUCCUGAGAGAACAUGAGUCAAGUGAAUCAGAGGACAUUGGGGUUGUACUCCAAGGAAUAAAGUUUUGACAGAUCUACAUGGCAUACCGUUAGCUGUCACUAUGAUGUUGGAGUUGAUAACCUCAUGUACCUGCCCGUGCUUAGAUACACCUUUGAGGCAUUGCAAAAAAUCUUCAUGGAGCUGGAUGAAGGCAAACUGCCAAGGAACUAGAAAUGUCACCUUUUGGUCAGUCAUCUUUGAAUCUGGUCCAUCAGUCUUCAGGCCUGAUCUCUCUCUCUUUCUUUCUCUUCUUUCCCUCUCUCUCUUCUCCCUUUUCUCUCCCUUUCUCCCCUUCUCUCUCUUUUCUCUCUCUCUCGCUUCUCUCUCUCCUCUUCCUCUCUCACUCCUUUAUCUUUCUCCUCUCCCUGUGAUGUUUGCUGCACUUUUUUCCAUUUGUCAAUUGCUGGAUAAAAAACAAUACUGUGUAUUUCAUGUUGCUUUCAAUAAAAAUUGACUACUAAA
This is a long non-coding RNA of Alosa sapidissima (American shad), 851 nucleotides long. RefSeq lists it as uncharacterized. Lineage: Eukaryota; Metazoa; Chordata; Actinopteri; Clupeiformes; Clupeidae. The record is from RefSeq and is a predicted model, not a curated record. The transcript has 2 exons.